AGCAGCCGCGGUAAUUCCAGCUCCAAUAGCGUAUAUUAAAGUUGUUGCAGUUAAAAAGCUCGUAGUUGAAUUUCGGGGUUAGUAGGUCGGUCAUGCCUCAGGUAUGCACUGGUCUCACUGAUUCCUCCUUCCUGAUGAGCCGUAAUGCCAUUAAUUUGGUGUUGCAGGGAAUCUGGACUGUUACUUUGAAAAAUUAGAGUGUUUAAAGCAGGCUAACGCUUGAAUACAUUAGCAUGGAAUAAUGGAAUAGGACGUUCGAUCCUAUUUUGUUGGUUUCUAGGAUUGACGUAAUGAUUAAUAGGGAUAGUUGGGGGCAUUAGUAUUCAAUUGUCAGAGGUGAAAUUCUUGGAUUUAUUGAAGACUAACUACUGCGAAAGCAUUUGCCAAGGAUGUUUUCAUUAAUCAAGAACGAAA
This 414-nucleotide ribosomal RNA is filed under the name uncultured Glomus. RNAcentral describes it as "SSU rRNA". It matches the Rfam family "Eukaryotic small subunit ribosomal RNA", at positions 569 to 988 of the family's 1831-position model. Lineage: Eukaryota; Fungi; Glomeromycota; Glomeromycetes; Glomerales; Glomeraceae. The record is from RNAcentral.